CCUACGGGAGGCAGCAGUGGGGGAUAUUGCACAAUGGGGGGAACCCUGAUGCAGCGACGCCGCGUGGGUGAAGAAGCGCCUCGGCGCGUAAAGCCCUGUCAGCAGGGAAGAAAAUGACGGUACCUGAAGAAGAAGCCCCGGCUAACUACGUGCCAGCAGCCGCGGUAAUACGUAGGGGGCAAGCGUUAUACGGAUUUACUGGGUGUAACGGGGGCGCAGACGGCGAUGCAAGCCAGGAGUGAAAGCCCGGGGCCCAACCCCGGGACUGCUCUUGGAACUGCGUGGCUGGAGUGCAGGAGGGGCAGGCGGAAUUCCGGGGGUAGCGGUGAAAUGCGUAGAUAUCAGGAGGAACACCGGUGGCGAAGGCGGCCUGCUGGACUGCAACUGACGUUGAGGCCCGAAAGCGUGGGGAGCAAACAGGAUUAGAUACCCCGGUAGUC
This 440-nucleotide ribosomal RNA is filed under the name uncultured bacterium. RNAcentral describes it as "partial 16S ribosomal RNA". It matches the Rfam family "Bacterial small subunit ribosomal RNA", at positions 338 to 795 of the family's 1533-position model. The record is from RNAcentral.